This 1188-nucleotide long non-coding RNA is filed under the name Aedes aegypti (yellow fever mosquito). RNAcentral describes it as "lncRNA AAEL024923". The record is from RNAcentral. Lineage: Eukaryota; Metazoa; Arthropoda; Insecta; Diptera; Culicidae.
ACGCCAGCACUUGACCAAUUGAUAUUUGGUGGUCAGUCGGUGGCCGACGCUCCUUCACCGCAGAUCGAAUCUUUGAUGGAAACAUAGUCGUGUCGAGCUGAUAUAGCUACCAUCCAAUACUCCCACACACAGCUUAGCGAAUUACAAUCGAGUGGUUUACCAUUACGUCUAUUGUUCAGCGUACUCCGAGUCGCGUGGCGCGCGAAAGAGACGAUCCUGACGGGCAAAGCAAAUGGGCAAUCAGAACAAUCCCAAGCAGUACACCAAAUACAGCAAGAAUACCUCGGAGUGCAAAGUGCGGAACAAGUGUCUACCCGUCCAGCGAAGCAUGUUCCGGUUGGGUUCUGGAAAUCUGUUCUAUCUUAUAUUGAUAAAAAUAUUCACCAUCUUGAACAACAUAGCUAGCAAAUGUUUCUGAAUUCCAUACGGUCUGGUGCCAUGGCGAGUAAAAAUAAACGACUUUUUCUACGAGGUAUUUGUAAUCCCGCCGUCGACAGAUUUCAGUUAUUUCUACUAAUUAAUCAGCAUUACUUUCGAUUCGAUAGACCAAGUGCAAGCUAAGCUAAACGCUACGGAGAGUGGGAUAGCAAAAUGAUUACAAACAUGUGCAAGUGGGAGCUUAUUCGGAAUCGAAGUGUGAUACUACGACAUUACCUGUGAUGUGUCGUCUGAAUCUACAUUCUAAGUGCUUCGUAUUAAUGACGCACAAAACCGAAAGCAGAGAGUGCUGCUGGCGAUUGACCAAUUUCUCAACCGUUUUAAAGAGAGCACAUCGAAUCAUCGAUCGUUCGGUUGCUUUUCGGUACACCACCGAUUCGGUUGAAGUUGAUCGAUAUACAGCGUCGAGGAUAGGUCCUUCAUCAGUUAUGCGGAGAAAGUCGUUAAACGUGUAUAACUACUAAUCGAAAGUGAUCGUCCGUCGGAUGGUGAUUGUUAAAAAUAGUAUUUACUGCAGGAUAAGUGGCUUCUGAACGGUUCAAUAGGCGAAAAAUUACCAUUUCCGAAUAACGCAAAGAAGAAAACCAUGAUUCCCACAGGAUACACCCGCUGGCGACAGGAAGCGUGCAUCCGAGAUGUGGUGUUUGCGAUUGUUGCGCUCAUGUUUCUACUUUGCUGGUGGUUUUGACCACCAUACAGGACUUCAACUGUUUCCCGAUGCGGUCAAAGAACUAUAGAACGGACUGCUGG